RNAcentral lists this ribosomal RNA (359 nucleotides) under uncultured bacterium. RNAcentral's name for it is "bacterial SSU rRNA". It matches the Rfam family "Bacterial small subunit ribosomal RNA", at positions 29 to 417 of the family's 1533-position model. The record is from RNAcentral.
AACGAACGCUGGCGGCAGGCCUAACACAUGCAAGUCGAACGCUCCGCAAGGGGAGUGGCGCACGGGUGAGUAACACGUGGGAACCUACCUUCUGGUACGGAACAACCAAGGGAAACUUUGGCUAAGACCGUAUACGACCUCCGGGUGAAAGAUUGAUCGCCGGAAGAGGGGCCCGCGUCCGAUUAGGUAGUUGGUGAGGUAACGGCUCACCAAGCCUUCGAUCGGUAGCUGGUCUGAGAGGAUGACCAGCCACACUGGGACUGAGACACGGCCCAGACUCCUACGGGAGGCAGCAGUGGGGAAUCUUGCGCAAUGGGCGAAAGCCUGACGCAGCGACGCCGCGUGAGGGAUGACGACCU